CCAAUUCAAAACGAUGGCAGAAUCUCAGAAAAUGGUGGCAUUGAAGAAGGCGUACGCGGAAAUAAUACUGAACACGGCGAAGGAGGCAGCGAGUCGAGUGAUGGCGUCGGAGAAGAAAGCGAUUCGCUAUCAGCAGGAUCUUUUUACUGCAAAAGACGAGGCGAUUCGUUUGCUUGUCCGCUUGAAGCAAAUGAUCGACGCUAAGAUAAUUGAAGCAGAGAUAGCAUCCUCAAGCCAGCAAACUAAAAUUGAUGAGCUUGAAGCUCAGCUCCAGGAAGCAGAGGGUGUCAUAGUAGAUCUAAGAGCAGAGUUGAAAUGGGCACGUGAUAAGUUGGAGAAGAUAACUAACAACCAAUUCCAGUCUUUGGAUGGAAAUAUCACAAGUGACAAUGAACCCUCUGACCAAAACACAACACCUGAGCCCAAUAUACUCUCUCCUAAUGUGGGACUCCAACCUGUGACAUCUUGUGACAUGAAGAACUCAUUAUUUGAUCAGAGAAUUUUGGAUAACACGGGCUGCAAUAUAGAACAGACUGAGCAAUCGAGUGUUUCUCAAUUUGGAAGCCAUUCUUCUCAUAACACUGAA
This 586-nucleotide unclassified non-coding RNA is filed under the name Hevea brasiliensis (rubber tree). The record is from RNAcentral. Lineage: Eukaryota; Viridiplantae; Streptophyta; Magnoliopsida; Malpighiales; Euphorbiaceae.